Molecule: unclassified non-coding RNA, 232 nt
Filed under: air metagenome
Description: partial contains small subunit ribosomal RNA, internal transcribed spacer 1, and 5.8S ribosomal RNA
Rfam family: Eukaryotic small subunit ribosomal RNA (bases 1-46)
Source: RNAcentral
AAGUCGUAACAAGGUUUCCGUAGGUGAACCUGCGGAAGGAUCAUUAUCGAAAACUCUCGUCGCGCUGUGCGUCUCCGCACGCGCGACGUCCGUUCUCCUCACACCUGUGCACCUUCGGGUCUGGCCUCCGCGCCGACCCGCCUUUCUUUAUCUUUACACCGUAACACGAAUGUAACACCUUGCGUAUAACAUAUGCACAUCACAACUUUCAACAACGGAUCUCUUGGCUCUC